This 111-nucleotide ribosomal RNA is filed under the name Caerostris darwini. Lineage: Eukaryota; Metazoa; Arthropoda; Arachnida; Araneae; Araneidae. The record is from RNAcentral.
ACGGCCGUACCAUGCUGAAUAUACCGGUUCUCGUUAGAUCACCGAAGUCAAGCAUCAUUGGGCGCGGUCAGUACUUGGGAGGGUGACCACCUGGGAACACCGCGGGCCGUC